AGACGGUGGAUGCCUUGGCUCUCGGAGGCGAUGAAGGACGUGAUAAGCUGCGAUAAGCUUGGGGUAGGUGCAAAUAACCUUUGAUCCCAAGAUUUCCGAAUGGGGCAACCCGGCUGGUAGAAGGCCAGUCAUUCCGUAAGGAAAGCGAACGUGGGGAACUGAAACAUCUAAGUACCCAUAGGAGAAGAAAACAAAAGUGAUUCCGCAAGUAGUGGCGAGCGAACGCGGAACAGCCCAAACCGAUGUUGUUUAGGCAAUAUCGGGGUUGUAGGACCACGCCAUGGCAAGCGAUUAAGGAAGUAGAACGUUUUGGAAAAAACGGCCGUAGACGGUGAAAGCCCAGUAUACGACUCUUUAAUGAAGCCUAGUGGUAUCCUGAGUAGCGCGGAGCACGAGAAAUUCUGUGUGAACCAGCGGGGCCCAUCCCGUAAGGCUAAAUACUCCCGAGAGACCGAUAGCGAACCAGUACUGUGAAGGAAAGGUGAAAAGCACCUCGAACAGAGGAGUGAAAUAGUCCCUGAAACCGUCUGCCUACAAGCGGUCGGAGCAAUCUUUUGGUUGUGACGGCGUGCCUUUUGCAUAAUGAACCUACGAGUUACUUUCUCCGGCAAGGUUAAGGACUUCAGGUCCGGAGCCGAAGCGAAAGCGAGUCUUAAAAGGGCGGUAUAGUCGGAGUGAGUAGACGCGAAACCAAGUGAUCUACCCUUGGUCAGGAUGAAGGUUGGGUAACACCAACUGGAGGUCCGAAUGGGUAUACGUUGAAAAGUGUUCCAAUGAACUGAGGGUAGGGGUGAAAGGCUAAUCAAACUUGGAGAUAGCUCGUACUCCCCGAAAUGCAUUUAGGUGCAGCCUUUAUAUAGUAUAUAAUGAGGUAGAGCGACUGAUUGGAUGCGAGGGCUUCACCGCCUAUCAAGUCCAGAUAAACUCCGAAUGCGUUAUAUAUAUUUAUAAGGAGUGAGGGCGCGGGUGCUAAGGUCCGCGUCCGAGAGGAGAAGAAUCCAGACCAUCAGCUAAGGUCCCCAAAUAACAGUUAAGUUGAACUAACGAAGUCAGACUGCAGAGACAGCUAGGAUGUUGGCUUGGAAGCAGCCAUUCAUUUAAAGAGUGCGUAACAGCUCACUAGUCGAGGAGUCUGGCGUGGAUAAUACUCGGGCAUAAACUGUUUACCGAAGCUAUGGAUCUCGUAUGAGAUGGUAGGGGAGCAUUCUAUGUACGUCGAAGGUGAGGGAUGACCCUUGCUGGAGUGCAUAGAAAAGCAAAUGUAGGUAUAAGUAACGAUAAAGGAGGUGAGAAACCUCCUCGCCGAAAGACUAAGGUUUCCUGAUCAACGUUAAUCGGAUCAGGGUAAGUCGGGACCUAAGGAUAAGCCGAACGGCGAUUCCGAUGGAAGAAUGGUUUAAUAUUCCCAUACUACUUUAUGGAGCGAUGUGGAGACGGAGAAGUGACAGUCCUGCCAUCUGACGGAAUAGAUGGUUAAAGGGUGUAGAUGUAGAUCGAAGUAGGCAAAUCCGCUUUGAGAGUCGAACCUGACAGUAUGCCGCGUACUUGUACAAGGCAAUAUGGACGUAAUCAGGCUCCCUAGAAAAUCCGCUAAGCAAAUUCAUAAAGUACCCGUACCGUAAACGGACACACGUAGUUGGGUUGAAAAUACUGAGGCGCUCGAGUGAUUCACGGUUAAGGAACUAGGCAAAUUGACCCUGUAACUUCGGGAUAAAGGGUCCCUGCAGAGAUGUGGGGCGCAGAGAAUAGGUCCAGGCAACUGUUUAACAAAAACACAUGGCUGUGCGAAAUAGAAAUAUGAAGUAUACAGCCUGACACCUGCCCGGUGCUGGAAGGUUAAGAGGAGAACUCAUCGCAAGAGAAGGUUUGAAUUGAAGCCCCAGUAAACGGCGGCCGUAACUAUAACGGUCCUAAGGUAGCGAAAUUCCUUGUCGGGUAAGUUCCGACCUGCACGAAUGGUGUAAUGAUCUGGACACUGUCUCAACCGUGAGCUCGGUGAAAUUGUAGUAU
This 2010-nucleotide ribosomal RNA is filed under the name gut metagenome. RNAcentral describes it as "bacterial LSU rRNA". It matches the Rfam family "Bacterial large subunit ribosomal RNA", at positions 19 to 2050 of the family's 2925-position model. The record is from RNAcentral.